Long non-coding RNA from Morus notabilis, 308 nucleotides. RefSeq lists it as uncharacterized. The transcript is spliced from 3 exons. The record is from RefSeq and is a predicted model, not a curated record. Lineage: Eukaryota; Viridiplantae; Streptophyta; Magnoliopsida; Rosales; Moraceae.
GAAGUGGUGGAUGAUCUCACAUGGCAUCUUCAAAUUUAGCUCGAAGAAUGAGGAUCCUUUCUCUCAUCGAACACACAUUCGAGUUCUGACUUAAAUACUUCGGAAGGGUACUUUGAGGUCUUCAAGAAUACUCAUUGGAGUGAAUCACGUGGAUAGACAACUAAGAGAGCAAAUAUUAUACUCGUGAUGCUCGUUUAAGUAACUACCAGAAGGGUCAACAACAGGAGCUUAUACAAAAGCUACUUCAGCAGACAAAUCCGCCAUCAAAUUAUCUUGGACCUUCCGUCUCAAGAAGAGAAUAUCCUUCA